This 253-nucleotide ribosomal RNA is filed under the name uncultured bacterium. RNAcentral describes it as "partial 16S ribosomal RNA". It matches the Rfam family "Bacterial small subunit ribosomal RNA", at positions 524 to 776 of the family's 1533-position model. The record is from RNAcentral.
UACGUAGGGUGCGAGCGUUAAUCGGAAUUACUGGGCGUAAAGCGUGCGCAGGCGGUUUUGUAAGACAGAUGUUAAAUCCCCGGGCUUAACCUGGGAAUGGCAUUUGGGACUGCAAGGCUCGAGUGCGGCAGAGGAGACUGGAAUUCCUGGUGUAGCAGUGAAAUGCGUAGAUAUCAGGAGGAACACCGAUGGCGAAGGCAGGUCUCUGGGCUGACACUGACGCUCAUGCACGAAAGCGUGGGGAGCAAACAGG